GUGGGGAAUUUUGGGCAAUGGGCGAAAGCCUGACCCAGCAACGCCGUGUGUGGGAUGAAGGCCCUCGGGUCGUAAACCACUGUCAGAAGGGAAGAAUGGCACUACGGCCAAUACCCGUAGUGCGUGACGGUACCUUCAAAGGAAGCGCCGGCUAACUCCGUGCCAGCAGCCGCGGUAAUACGGAGGGCGCAAGCGUUGUUCGGAAUUACUGGGCGUAAAGCGCGUGUAGGCGGUUCGGUAAGUUGGGUGUGAAAUCCCGGGGCUCAACCCCGGAACUGCACUCAAAACUGCCGGGCUAGAGUCCCGGAGAGGAAGGCAGAAUUCCCAGUGUAGGGGUGAAAUCCGUAGAUAUUGGGAGGAAUACCAGUAGCGAAGGCGGCCUUCUGGACGGUGACUGACGCUGAGACGCGAAAGCGUGGGGAGCAAACAGG
RNAcentral lists this ribosomal RNA (431 nucleotides) under uncultured bacterium. Its description in RNAcentral is "bacterial SSU rRNA". It matches the Rfam family "Bacterial small subunit ribosomal RNA", at positions 354 to 776 of the family's 1533-position model. The record is from RNAcentral.